UAAAAAAAAGUGACUAUUUCAUUUAGUUUUCGCAUAUUAUCGCGUCCAAAAAUCAGUUCAUUUUAUUUGUUGAAAAAAAAAUCCAACUAAAAUUAUGAAAAUGAGUUCAAGCGAAGCCGAUAAUAUUGAUAAACUUUAUAAAAACUAUGAAAUUCUCAGCGACGCUAAAGACAACAUUUCUUAGUAUUCGAACAAACGUCAUGCACCAAUCACGUUCCAAUCGGAUGCGUCAAACGAUGCAAAGCGAAAGAAGAUCGGUGCAAAGAGCACCACUUCGCCAACAUCGUCCGAACAACUUUUGUAUAAAACGCCAUCGGGUAAAUUUUCGGAAAUAACAAUCGGAACGGGAACGGUGAAGACAUCAUUGAUGCUACCAUAUUACCAGAUGAUCGGGAGCCAACGCAAGACCAGAGGGAACCCCUCCAAGUGCAAAUCGACGGAUUGCGAUUAGAAUUGGUCGGACUAAAGAAUCUGAACAAUGAUCUUCAGGAGCAAGUCGACGAUUUGAAGACCCAUGCAAGAUGCUGUAAAUGCGGAGCUAUGAAUGGAUUAUUCUAAUAUCUUUUUUUUUUCAUUAUUCUUAUAUAAGAAUAACUAACGUUCAGAAACAAAAAAUAGCAUUUCGAUUAAUCUUUUUUCAUUUAUUAUU
Contarinia nasturtii (swede midge) is the source of this 649-nucleotide long non-coding RNA. RefSeq lists it as uncharacterized. Lineage: Eukaryota; Metazoa; Arthropoda; Insecta; Diptera; Cecidomyiidae. The transcript is spliced from 3 exons. The record is from RefSeq and is a predicted model, not a curated record.